UAGCCUGAGGUGAUGAGUUUGCUUCAUGUCUCUUCUCUGAGAUCUGUGCUGGAGAUGCUCCAAAGACUCUGAUCAGGCAC
Chroicocephalus ridibundus (black-headed gull) is the source of this 80-nucleotide small nucleolar RNA. RefSeq annotates it as small nucleolar RNA SNORD111. The record is from RefSeq and is a predicted model, not a curated record. Lineage: Eukaryota; Metazoa; Chordata; Aves; Charadriiformes; Laridae. The transcript has a single exon.